UAACUUGCGAAAAGCGAAAAGGGUGGGUAAAAUAAACGUGUGAGGCGAUGAAUGUCGCCGGGACUAUAGCAAUAAACGCUCUGUGGAAUAAACGGGACGGACCCGGGGGCAGAACCCGGCGCCUCCACCUAAGGAAAUCACCGGUUUUCUUAGGUGGGGGUGAAUCAGGAUCGACGUACGCAGUAAAGAUAGAGUUUUUGCUCGGCAUGGUACCACCGUUAUCGGACUAAAAAAAACAAAUGGAACCAAUGAUAAUGGUCCAGCUGUAAGACUUGCAAACGAUAAUGUUCGUUUCGCAAGUGUGGUUCUUGCCGCGGCUUAAUGGUCGUUGUUUUAACCUUUUAACAGCGCGGUUUCCGAGGGCACCGGGCAACAGAAGCCCUCGGGCU
This 389-nucleotide transfer-messenger RNA is filed under the name Daphnia pulex (common water flea). Its description in RNAcentral is "Alphaproteobacteria transfer-messenger RNA". It matches the Rfam family "Alphaproteobacteria transfer-messenger RNA". Rfam says of the family: Bacterial tmRNA, also known as 10Sa RNA or SsrA, is named for its dual tRNA and mRNA-like properties. Its role is to liberate the mRNA from a stalled ribosome. Lineage: Eukaryota; Metazoa; Arthropoda; Branchiopoda; Diplostraca; Daphniidae. The record is from Rfam by way of RNAcentral.